Zea mays is the source of this 197-nucleotide long non-coding RNA. RefSeq lists it as uncharacterized. The transcript has 3 exons. The record is from RefSeq and is a predicted model, not a curated record. Lineage: Eukaryota; Viridiplantae; Streptophyta; Magnoliopsida; Poales; Poaceae.
CUGCAACCUACUAUACGGACCUUGGUAUUGAAGAUUCAGACAUAUUUGUCUCUGAUGGUGCCAAAUGUAACAUAUCUCGCUUGCAGGUACUUUUUGGAUCUAAUGUGACAAUUGCGGUCCAAGAUCCAUCAUACCCUGCAUAUGUUGAUUCAAGUGUUAUCACGGGCCAAACUGGCUUAUAUCAGCAAGAUGUUCAG